This 433-nucleotide ribosomal RNA is filed under the name uncultured bacterium. RNAcentral's name for it is "partial 16S ribosomal RNA". It matches the Rfam family "Bacterial small subunit ribosomal RNA", at positions 29 to 507 of the family's 1533-position model. The record is from RNAcentral.
AACGAACGCUGGCGGCAUGCCUAACACAUGCAAGUCGAACGAGACCUUCGGGUCUAGUGGCGCACGGGUGCGUAACGCGUGGGAACCUGCCCUUAGGUUCGGAAUAACUCCCCGAAAGGGGUGCUAAUACCGGAUAAUGUCUUCGGACCAAAGAUUUAUCGCCUUUGGAUGGGCCCGCGUUGGAUUAGCUAGUUGGUAGGGUAAAAGCCUACCAAGGCGACGAUCCAUAGCUGGUCUGAGAGGAUGAUCAGCCACACUGGGACUGGGACACGGCCCAGACUCCUACGGGAGGCAGCAGUGGGGAAUAUUGGACAAUGGGCGAAAGCCUGAUCCAGCAAUGCCGCGUGAGUGAUGAAGGCCUUAGGGUUGUAAAGCUCUUUUACCCGGGAUGAUAAUGACAUUACCGGGAGAAUAAGCUCCGGCUAACUCCGUG